This 518-nucleotide ribosomal RNA is filed under the name Dione vanillae (Gulf fritillary). RNAcentral describes it as "partial 16S ribosomal RNA". The stretch from base 391 to 518 matches the Rfam family "Archaeal large subunit ribosomal RNA", at positions 2542 to 2670 of the family's 2987-position model. The record is from RNAcentral. Lineage: Eukaryota; Metazoa; Arthropoda; Insecta; Lepidoptera; Nymphalidae.
GUCUUUUUGAUUAAUAAUUUAAAGUUUAAUUUGCCCCCUGAUUAAUAAUUAAAGGGCUGCAGUAUAUUGACUGUACAAAGGUAGCAUAAUCAAUAGUCUUUUAAUUGAAGACUUGUAUGAAAGAUUUGAUGAAAUAUAAACUGUCUCUAAAUUAUUUAUAGAAAUUAAUUUUUUAAUUAAAAAGUUAAAAUAAAUUAAAAAGACGAGAAGACCCUAUAGAGUUUUAUAAUAAUUAAAUUUUUUUUUUAAAUAUAAAAAUAAUAAAUUUAAAGGUUUAUUAUUAUUUUAUUGGGGUGAUAGAAAAAUUAAAAUAACUUUUUUUAAUAAAAAUACAUAAAUAAGUGAAUAAAUGAUCCAUAAUUAAUGAUUAUAAGAAAAAAUUACCUUAGGGAUAACAGCGUAAUUUUUUUUUUUAGUACAAAUAAAAAAAAAAGGUUGCGACCUCGAUGUUGGAUUAAGAUAAAAUUUAAAUGCAAAAGUUUAAAAUUUUGAUCUGUUCGAUCAUUAAAAUCUUACAU